GAAGAACGCUGGCGGCGUGCCUAAUACAUGCAAGUCGAACGCUUCUUUCCUCCCGAGUGCUUGCACUCAAUUGGAAAGAGGAGUGGCGGACGGGUGAGUAACACGUGGGUAACCUACCCAUCAGAGGGGGAUGACACUUGGAAACAGGUGCUAAUACCGCAUAACAGUUUAUGCCGCAUGGCAUAAGAGUGAAAGGCGCUUUCGGGUGUCGCUGAUGGAUGGACCCGCGGUGCAUUAGCUAGUUGGUGAGGUAACGGCUCACCAAGGCCACGAUGCAUAGCCGACCUGAGAGGGUGAUCGGCCACACUGGGACUGAGACACGGCCCAGACUCCUACGGGAGGCAGCAGUAGGGAAUCUUCGGCAAUGGACGAAAGUCUGACCGAGCAACGCCGCGUGAGUGAAGAAGGUUUUCGGAUCGUAAAACUCUGUUGUUAGAGAAGAACAAGGACGUUAGUAACUGAACGUCCCCUGACGGUAUCUAACCAGAAAGCCACGGCUAACUACGUG
Molecule: ribosomal RNA, 508 nt
Filed under: uncultured bacterium
Lineage: Bacteria
Description: partial 16S ribosomal RNA
Rfam family: Bacterial small subunit ribosomal RNA
Source: RNAcentral